UUGAAAUACCGUUUCCCGUACGAUCACUGUAGUUAAGCAACGUUGAGUCUGAUCAGUACUUAAAUGGAUGACCGCUUGGAAAUAUCAGGCUCUGUA
Molecule: non-coding RNA, 96 nt
Organism: Acanthosepion pharaonis
Lineage: Eukaryota; Metazoa; Mollusca; Cephalopoda; Sepiida; Sepiidae
Source: the annotation of a GenBank genome assembly